AAAAGAUAUUAUAUUUUUAAAUAAAACAAAAAAAAAUAAAAACGCUUAUACCUUCGGAUGAAAUAAUCAAAUAUAUAAUUAAAAUCAAAACUCAAAAUUUUGAAAAUAAAAAUAAAAAACAAAAUAGAAGUAUGAACGAAAAGUUUUUCCACUCUUUCAUAUUUAGUGUUCAUCAAAGUCAUGCUUCUUCGAGUGAAACUUUGUUCGUUUAUAAAUAAGAAAAAAGUUGUGAAGAUUUUUUUCUAGUUAUUAUCCAUCAAAUUUAUAACUUUCACUUCAAUUUAAUCAAUACUAAAAGAAAGCAAAAUGAUUGAAAGAAGAAGACUAGAAAAUAAAAAGCCUCAGUUGGUAUGAAUUGUUAUUUAAUUAUAUUUUAAGUGUUUUUCAAAUUAUGAUUCUUUAUUAAUAUAAAAAAUAUGGUAAUAAUUAUUAACAAAAUAAUAACUUAUAUAACAAAUAGAUUUUCAUGUGAUGUUUUAAAAUAUGUACAUAUUUACAUGUUUUUACUUUUGAUCGGUUUUAUUCGGUUUAUUCGGUUUAAUCGGUUAUAAACCAAACCAUAUUCAAAUCCUACGGUUUUUAUAAAAUCAUAUCCAUUCGGUUUAUAUGGUAUAUACCAAAACCACACGAUAUUGUCUAUUUGGAUCUGGUUUGGUUUGGUACGGUUUGGUUUUACCAUAUUGGACAUGUCUAGCUGCAGUGCCGCUGCUACAGUAACUCCCGAUUUUCUGCUACAGUGUCGAUCGAUUUAUUUGCUAUAGUGUCGAUCGAUGCUACAGUGCCUUUUCUACAGUGCGGUUGCUACAGUACCGUUGUGACUGUUCAUAUGGUUUUUUUUUUUAAAACAUGAAAUCAUUAGAAAACAAAGAAUCAAUAAUAAAUGAAAAAAAAAUUAAAUUUAAAACAAACCUAAUAGUGGGUUGCCUCCCACUCAGCGCUUUGUUAUAGUCAUUUAGCUUGACUUUGGAGAUCUGAUUUAGUCCGGAUGAAAAUGAGAACGAAACCAUAUGAACAGCUUCUUCUGUCCAGAUAGGUGGUCUUUGAUGUUUAGGGACAUCAAGGUGUGAGGCCUUAGACAUGUACAUCCUUUCCUCAAUUGGUUCCAUCUCAAUUAUGCAACCUGGCGGAACGUCUAGCAUUGAGAAUCGAUCGAUAUUAAGUGGGUGGUGUUGUUUUUCACUGGAUGAACAGUGUCGAGGUGAACAGUGUUCGAAUGAACAGUGCCCGGAUGAACAGUGUCAUGAUGAACAGUGUUCACAUGAACAGUAUCGAUCGACGCGGAAUGAUUAGUAUCGAUCAACACAGGAUGAAUAGUGUCGAUCGACGGGAGAUGAACAACGUUGAUCGACGUGGGAUGAAUAGUGUCGAGAUGAACAAUACCUCGACGAACAGUACUUCGAUGAACAGUACCGGAGUGGACAGUACCGUGAUGAAUAGUACUGGAGUGAACAGUAUCGUGAUGAACAAUGUUGUCCGACACAAGUUGAAUAGUGUCGUACGAUACUUGGUUCACGAUACCAUUCAUCUAAGCAGUGUCGAUCGACGUCAGGUGAGCAAUGUCGAUCGACGUCAGGUGAGCAAUGUCGAUCGACGUCAGGUGAGCAAUGUCGAUCGACGUUAGGAUUUCUACGCUGCCAAUCGAUUUCUUGGAGGGUGUCGACUGCCCUCUUAGACUUAUGGAUUACGCGUUCCAAAUCCAGUAGCUCUGCUAGUAAGAGCUCUAUCCCCUUUAUUUCUUCUGGUGCUCAUAUGGAUGUACCUGAAACAAGAGAAAAUUUUUUAUCAGUUUUUUUGAACAAUAGUAAAACCUAAAUUAAAUCUAACUAAACAAGAUCUAAUGGCGAUCAAAACUCCCCGGCAACGGGGCCAAAUUUGAUAUCACUCAAAUUACCCUAAGGAGUGAUUUAUACUCUCUCAAAUAAGAGGUCGAGUUGUAGUACUUAGGAAUCAAAUUCACAGGGAGCUAGAUCUAAUCAGUUUGAUUAAGUAAGGUUAAUAAGUUUAAAGCAGUAAACAGUAAACAAGUUGAACAAUACAAUUGUUCAGAUUGGCAGGCAUUUGUUUGAUGGAAUGAUGGUUGCUAGAUCUAGGGUUUUUAUUCAGGUGUUGGAGAUUAUAAUCCUAUAGAUGCCUAACAUUUACAUGCAUGAUAUAUUAGAGCUCAAUUCCUUAAUCACAGUGAUCAGCGAUGGCAAUGUUUCACUGGUAAACUAACUAGAUCUUGGAUCUCAACGGUUAGUCUUUUGAUCACAAGAAAGUGUCGAUCGAUGAUCCUACAGAGAUAUCGAUCGAUACACCUUUUGCAAUAACGAUCGAUUAUUAGAAGACAAUAUUGAUCGAUGCUUUUAGCUAAGCCCUAGGCGCAGGCUGAUAAUGCUCACUAGUCUCCUAGAUCAGCGGUUAGCCUUUUUCUAGCACUCCUAGUAUGAUUGACUAGAUUCAGGACAGGAUGAUCAAGGAUGCUUGACACAUGCAAAUUCCUAGGUUCAUGUUCUAGUUAACAAGGCUAAAACAAGCAGUAAAAAAAAAAUCUAAUAAUGAAUACCACAACUUAGCAAAUUUAUAGUUGGGGCUAAUCCCUCUAAUCUAUUUGAACCCUAAACCUAACAGGUGGAUCUAUUCAGACAUAAAGUUUGUCACAGAAAUCAUAGAUGAAUAACAUAAAAUAUAAAUAAAACCAAAACAAUGGAGUUCCAGGAGGACUCUGAAGGAGUUCAUCCUUUCUCUCCUAACUAAGAACAAGAAUCAAAGAAAGCUUAGAUAGGGUGUAGCCGUCAACAAUGGCUUAGAAAUAACAUAAAUAGGGUUUCUGGUCGUCCAAGGGUAUUCUGGUAAUUUGGGAUUUCUUAUGUGCUUCAGUCGGUCAUAAAAUAUGCUCGGCCCGCAUUCUGGCAUCCAUACCGAUCGAUGUCAAGAGAUCUGCAUCGAUCGACAUAUGUUCCUCUUCUCGACAGCUUUCUCUUGCGAGGCAGACUGACCACUCUUCAGUAAAAUGGACAUAACGUUUGCUACAUGAUGCGGAUUGACCUCAAACCGGUGGCAUUGGAAAGCUAACUCAAAUAUAUAUUUUGUGUCAAAAUUUGAGCUCAAUCUAACGGUCGGAAGGCUCCAUCCAUGGCUAGACAUCGGACACGUUUGUGCAGUUCUGCACCUCAAAAGACUCCAAAAUAACCAUAUUUCCCCAGAACGUACCUGAACCUGUAAAUACUCUAAAUAUACUUUUUAUAUAGUAGUAAAUAUAUAUAUUAAAACACUUAUAGACCAUGGCUAAAAGUGGGUAAAAUCCAUGGUCUAUCAGUAUCUCAGAGUAUAGACCAAUUGCCUUGUGCAAUGUCUACUACAAGAUAUAUUCCAAGAUUCUCCAACAUUGCCUACAACCACUUCUGGAGAAGAUUAUUUCUGAAAAUCAAUCCUCCUUCGUCCCAGGAAGAGCGAUCAGGGAUAAUAUCCUUAUCCCCCACGAAGUUCUCCACACUCUAAAGACGUCAAAGGCUGAGCAAAGAGUGUCGAUGGCGGUAAAGACGAAUAUGAGUAAAGCCUACGAUAGACUUGAAUGAGACUUUAUUUCUCAUGUGCUUGAGAGACUCGGAUUUAGCCAUACCUGGAUUGGCUUGAUCAUGCAGUGUAUCUCAACAGUUACAUACACCUUCCUCAUUAAUGGUUCGCCUAGAGGAUUGGUUACACCGAGCAGAGGGAUCCACCAAGGCGACCCCCUCUCUCCCUAUAUAAUUAUCUUGUGUAGUGAAGUGCUCUCGGGUCUUUGUGACAGAGCACAAGAGGAAGGUGAUACAACUCAAAUUACCCUAAGGAGUGAUUUAUACUAUCUCAAAUAAGAGGUCGAGUUGUAGUACUUAAGGAUCGAAUUCACAGGAAGCUAUGGAACCUAAGAAGUCUAAUAUGAUUUGUUAAGCUAGAUGGUUUAAGAGAUUUAAAAGUAAAUUGCAGUUUUAUAUUGAACAAGUGUUUGUUCAAUAGAUUGAUUGAGGUUUUGGUGCUUAAAAAGGAAAUAGUUAGACUUAUGAUUUUGAUUCAGGAAACUUGGGAUUAUAAUCCUACAGAUUCCCAAUGAGUUGCAUGCAUGAUAAUGUAAAGCUCAACUACUUAGUUAAAAAUAAUAAUAAUAAUAAAUAAUUUAAGGAGCUGCUUGGAAAGGCAAGACGUGUUACAAAAUUGCGGAAUUAACGGUACAGAAUCAAGACGAGGAUUUGGAAGAAUAAAAAGGGUUUGGUCAGCUUCCGGAAUCAGAAAGUCAAGCCACAUCGGUUAAUCACUGUGAGUCACGGUUAAUUGUUUGUUAACAAAUUUUUAAUGCAGGUUCCUGACAUCAGAGACGGUUUCCGAGCUAGGAUAGUUGGACCGGGCUAGGUGUCAGUUUGUGGAUCCGAGGCUUGAGACGAUGUCUAGGCUAAGUGGAUAGCAAGACUAGUCUAAGCACCCGGAUUAUUACGAUUGUGUAAUUAUUAUAUGUUAUUAUAGUGGGUACCUCGUGUUGGUACUGUUGUGUGAGAACCUCGUGGUGGUUCUAGUAGUAGUUUGCAGGUCAUUGCUUCCUCAAAUGGUACCACUAAGCCGGUCGUGGUCCGGACAGUGGUGGGCUCGGUUUAACUUGGCUUGAUCACCAAGGCCGAGUGUCACAUGUGGAUGUGACAGCCCCCGGUGAGUCCGAUAGAGGACCGGGGCACGGCGAUUCCGAUUGAGGACCGUGACCAGGCGAUUCCCGAGCGCCUACGCCUGUGUGGUGUAAUAGUAAAGGGAUUGCCGGUGUCCCUUAUGUGGAGGAAGAAUGAUUCUGUUGGGCCCUAGGAGUACAUGUGACCAGUAGAAAAGACCGUAGCACUCGCGGAACUGUAGGAGCUGGUGUAGAUUGGACAUCUUUUGCUAAAGACUCGUUUUCAAGAUAUAUGAAUGUAUGUUUUACUUUCGACUGCGUCCAUGGACCAUAUGUAUAAUAUUUUGGGCUCGUGAACUUCAUGUUUUAUAUAUAUGGAAUAAAGUAUGUUUAAUAUUCGUGACGUGUUGAGUCUGAUAUUAGGUUACUCCAACCUAACACAACUCUAUGACUCGGUACGGGUUGCAAAGCCUCAUGCCGAAGAUUAGAGGAAACGAGUUUUGAAUGGAUAUUCUGGGUUACAGAAUUAUGUUUUGUGACUUGGAAAGUCUAUUCUAAACCCGUUGUGACACUUCCGGACUUAGCAGAGGAAGGUCGUUCGGGCAUGUUCUUAUUUGAUUGUUGCCCGACUGACUGACCAAUGUUUAAAAUGGUUCGGGGGUGUUACACAAGUGGUUCAGAUAGGAGACACUAUUAAAAGGCAGGAGGCUUUCAUGAAAGGUAAAGGGGAGGAAUCUUGAAGCACCACGUGAAUGCCAUCAUGGAUGAUGAUUUCUGGCAAGUGGUUAAGGAGGAGAAGCUUCAAGAGGGAGAUUUCCAGGUUGAAAGCUCCAUGAGUUUCGGCGGUUCACAUUGGUGUAAGCCGAUGCCAAGCUACAAACAUCGACUGACGGAGACAGACAAACAUCGAUUGACAUCAGGUUCUCCACAUCGAUCGAUUGAGGAAGUUGCAUCAUGUGCAACCGUGAGAAUUAUGACUCACGAGGAGUUCGCAGCUAAACACCCUCAUCCACGAAAAUCCUUACGCAUCAAGAAGUCGGACAUCUAUCGACACCAAGAGUCAGCCGCGAUCGACAGCCAGACUCAACUGACGAUUGAUACAACUCACCCAGCGUAAAUCGAUGACCACCUCUGACCUACCGAGUGCAGUUACCAAAGAUAGAUGUAGCACGCCUGAAUGCACUAAGAAAUACAUUUCAACCUUCAGAACAUAUUGCAGACAACUUUGAUCAACAUUCAGAUGAUGCACCAGAGCCUAUGCAAGUUUAUCAGACUUCUGAGAGGAGAACCUUGAGGAGAAGAAAGGAAAAGGUUCCUAAGCAUCUCAAAAGAGGAGUAAAUGAGAUGGAGAUGGAAAGCUUCACAAAGCCAUUUGAGGAGGCUUACUUUACCCACAGGUUGUAGAUGUUCUUCAGAGAAAUCAAGGAGACUGAACAUGACAUAUAUAGGAUAUUCAACCAGGUUAGAGAAAAGAUGAAGCGGAGGAUUAAACUGAAGAAGACGAGGGAUCCUGAGAAAUUUAUAUGCCAUGUUGUUUGAAGGGCAUUGAAUUUCCAUGUGUGUCGUGAGACACAGUAUAAUAACCCUCACGAGCAGAUAGAAUAUUGGUCGAGAAAAUUCUUUCAGAUCAAUUUGAAGAUUGAUCGAUCAGAAUUUAAAUAAAAAUCGACACGGUGAAUUAAUCUCUCGACGGGCUGUCUUUUGGUCGAAAAACCAUCUCUUGAAGGUUCUGGUCGAGUGUUAAUUAUUAUUGUCGAUUUUUAUUCAUGCUAGGCGAGUUUAUUCAGAGCAGGAUGAGAUUCGAAUGAUAAAAAAUAUUUAGUCGAAACAGUCAUAAAAAUAUCGACAAAACUUAAAAUUAUUUCUGAACAGUCACAUGCCUUGCCCCUUCUAGCCUACUUGCUUUCUCAGUAAUUAGGUCACAUGACAUGUACCUACUUGCUUACCUGCUUGCUCAUUAGAAGUCACAUGCUGGUCACAAGCUGUUUGCUUCAGCUGCUUGCAGCUUUCUUCUAGUAAGGGAAAGGUGAACUGCUUGUGCUGAAGCUGGUUGCCACAUGUUUCUCCAAACUACCACUUUGUGUAAAGAGAAAACCCUGAGCUGAAGCAACCCCAUAUGGUAUAAAACAUCUUCUUCUCUCCUCUGGACGUCCUGUUACUGCAAGAAAAACCAGAGAAAAAUUCAGAGAGAAAGAGA
This is a long non-coding RNA of Brassica rapa (field mustard), 6806 nucleotides long. RefSeq lists it as uncharacterized. NCBI's taxonomy places the organism in Eukaryota, Viridiplantae, Streptophyta, Magnoliopsida, Brassicales, Brassicaceae. The record is from RefSeq and is a predicted model, not a curated record.